Entelurus aequoreus (snake pipefish) is the source of this 494-nucleotide long non-coding RNA. RefSeq lists it as uncharacterized. NCBI's taxonomy places the organism in Eukaryota, Metazoa, Chordata, Actinopteri, Syngnathiformes, Syngnathidae. The record is from RefSeq and is a predicted model, not a curated record. The transcript is spliced from 3 exons.
CCAAAGCAGCUUUAGGUGAGUGACGGUCGGCAGUUGGUGACACACAAGAAGUGAGCAGCACACACGCAGCGUCACAAUGGCUCCCAUCGCAGUGGCGGACAUGUUGUCUUCUCUUUCGUCUGCUGAGGCGGCCAUCGUCUCCUUAGUCGUCUUCCUCAUCCUCAGCAUCAGUCUGGUGGCUCUUUGCAACGACUGUAGGCGGAACUCGGGCAACGCGUACGACGUGAACCGAGGAGUUACGGUAUGAACUUCCUGUCACUAUGAAUUAUAUUUUAGUACCACCUUUGAGCAUGCCAGUGUUUACUCUACGUGAUAUUUGGGCAAUGUUACGACGUUUCAUAAAUGUUGACUUCAAAAUCCAACUGUGAUUAUUGUAUUUACCGGACUAUAGAGCGCACCGGUGUAUAAGCCGCACACACUCAAUUUUAGGAGAAAUUAUUUUUUUCCAUAUAUAAACCGCACCGGACUAUAAGCCGCAGAUGUAUAUGUUGUGA